Molecule: ribosomal RNA, 846 nt
Filed under: uncultured bacterium
Lineage: Bacteria
Description: bacterial SSU rRNA
Rfam family: Bacterial small subunit ribosomal RNA
Source: RNAcentral
GAAAUUCUUGAUGUAGCGGUGAAAUGCGUUGAUAUCAAGAAGAACACCGGUGGCGAAGGCGGCUCUCUGGAAUGUUACUGACACUGAGGUACGAAAGCUGGGGGAGCAAACAGGAUUAGAUACCCUGGUAGUCCCAGCUGUAAACGGUGUGAACUUGGUGUUGGCGGUAUUGACCCCGCCAGUGCCGGAGCUAACGCGUUAAGUUCACCGCCUGGGGAGUACGGCCGCAAGGCUAAAACUCAAAGAAAUUGACGGGGGCCCGCACAAGCGGAGGAGCAUGUGGCUUAAUUCGAUGCAACGCGAAGAACCUUACCAGGGCUUGACAUGUAACUGCAAAUCCUGUGAAAGCAGGACUCUUUCGAAGGUGUUACACAGGUGCUGCAUGGCUGUCGUCAGUUCGUGCCGUGAGGUGUUGGGUUAAGUCCCGCAACGAACGCAACCCCUAUGUUUAGUUGCCACCACCGGUGAUGAGCCGGUGAGCACUCUAGACAGACUGCCCGUACAAGCGGGAGGAAGGUGGGGACGACGUCAAGUCAGUAUGGCCCUUACGCCCUGGGCUGCACACGUGCUACAAUGGCCGGUACAGAGGGAAGCAAGACCGCGAGGUGGAGCAAAUCCUCAAAACCGCCCUCAGUUCGGAUUGGAGUCUGCAACUCGACUCCAUGAAGUUGGAUUCGCUAGUAACGGCGUAUCAGCUACGGCGCCGUGAAUACGUUCCCGGGCCUUGUACACACCGCCCGUCACAUCAUGAAAGCCGUCGACACCCGAAGUCGUUGAUCCAACCCGCAAGGGGGGAAGGCGCCGAAGGUGUGGGUGGUGAUUGGGAUGAAGUCGUAACAAGGUACC